GCCCCCGUAGCUCAACGGAUAGAGCGCCGGACUUCGAAUCCGUAGAUGUGAGUUCGAUCCUCGCCGGGGGCG
This 72-nucleotide transfer RNA is filed under the name Chloroflexi bacterium RBG_16_51_16. RNAcentral's name for it is "tRNA-Arg". It matches the Rfam family "tRNA". From Rfam's summary of the family: Transfer RNA (tRNA) molecules are approximately 80 nucleotides in length. Their secondary structure includes four short double-helical elements and three loops (D, anti-codon, and T loops). The record is from RNAcentral. RNAcentral also lists the same sequence under 1 other name. Lineage: Bacteria; Bacillati; Chloroflexota.